RNAcentral lists this ribosomal RNA (253 nucleotides) under uncultured bacterium. RNAcentral describes it as "partial 16S ribosomal RNA". It matches the Rfam family "Bacterial small subunit ribosomal RNA", at positions 524 to 776 of the family's 1533-position model. The record is from RNAcentral.
UACGUAGGGUGCAAGCGUUAAUCGGAAUUACUGGGCGUAAAGCGUGCGAAGGCGGUAAUGUAAGACAGUUGUGAAAUCCCCGGGCUCAACCUGGGAACUGCAUCUGUGACUGCAUUGCUGGAGUACGGCAGAGGGGGAUGGAAUUCCGCGUGUAGCAGUGAAAUGCGUAGAUAUCAGGAGGAACACCGAUGGCGAAGGCAGGUCUCUGGGCUGACACUGACGCUCAUGCACGAAAGCGUGGGGAGCAAACAGG